CGAAAGUACACGCCAGUACAGUAGAUGGCGGUAUACGCGAACUGACAACCAAAUCCUAACGAAGAAGAAGAACAGACGUAAACAAAGAGCAUGUCGUACAUAUUCAUUCAAACGAGAGCAGGACCACUGACGGUUCAACCACAGCGUCAGAAAUGCCGAUAUGGAGGUGGACUACAAGCAGAACUACACAAAUCUCAAACGCAAAUUGAAAUUCAUGGUUUAUGAGCAGGAGUGUUUUCAGGAAGAGCUCAGAAGAUCCCAGAAGAAGCUGCUCAGAGUGUCCAGAGAUAAAAGGUGGUGGCCCCUUUAGCAGCCAACUUCCCAGCGGGCCCGACUGCCCCUCCCACAUCCAGCGCCUCGUUCAACUGGGUGCCCAGGCAGAUACUGAGUGGAGACGAGGGAGGUGGAGAGAGCGACGGAGACUCAGACAGAGGAGACGACAACAGGGGGGAAGGAGAAGAGGCUGACCUUGUCAUCGAUAUAAUGGAGACGUUAUGUUUUCUACCAAUGACUUUUAAAAAUGAAAUUGCAUUAAAGUGGUAACAUUUCAGGUGA
Oncorhynchus keta (chum salmon) is the source of this 555-nucleotide long non-coding RNA. RefSeq lists it as uncharacterized. The record is from RefSeq and is a predicted model, not a curated record. NCBI's taxonomy places the organism in Eukaryota, Metazoa, Chordata, Actinopteri, Salmoniformes, Salmonidae. The transcript is spliced from 4 exons.